AGGCUGUGGCACAGUAAGUUUGGAGUGUUAGCUACUAUUAUCAUGGAGCUCAGUUCUAGGCUACAAAUCAGAUUGUUGGACUUCUUUAAAAGUUGGGGCAACAUACACGAACAAGGAGAAAAUUGGGAGAGGAAGGGGGGGCUUUCUAAUUUUGACUCAAUCUCCUAUUUAAAACAAAUCUGGGCUCAGCUCUCUUCUCAAGGAAACGGGGAGACUUUAAAACCACCGCCUGCAGAACACUGAAAGGUUGGAAGAGGCACAGAGAGCGCGUCCGGAGCUUGGGAAGCACUAGACCAGAGAAGAACUGGGCACGUCCCAGUUGGGUGGAAGAGCUGCCAGUCCUGGUAGGCGCACCGUGGGGACCAAUCGCCUUCGGGCUCCGCCUUCAGGGGGCGGGAGAAUCGGGACGUCCACGCGCCUUAGGCGGGGCCUCUGCACCGCUAGCUUCUCCGCCUUCAGUCCUGAGUGGGUCGGCGAGCCACAGUUGGCCAGAGCCAGGUUGCUUGACGCUUUGUUUGACUCCUCGGACACAUUCUCUGACAAAACUCCCUGAGCACAGUGUCUACUGAUUUAUCUGCCUCCUUUCUGAUGAACUUUCUUUCACUGACUUUCAGAUUUUCCUGAACAAUGCCAUCGCUGGUUCUAGACUUGUUUUUGGACACACACUGAUUGAAGAAAUCUUUGCUUUUCAGGGGCACUGGGAAUUGAACCCAGGACCUCCUGCACACUGAGCACAUGUUCUACCACUGAGCUAUACCCCAGAGCCCUUAAAUAACCCACUGAGAAAACCAAAGAACUCUGUUGCUGGAUCUUCCCACAGGUUUUACCAAUAGUUAUUUCCUUAGCUGUGUGAUAUCUGCCCUCUAUAAAGAACCCUCGUGCAUUGGCUCAUCUUGAAGGUAAAUUCAGUGGCUGAGAGCUGAUUUGGUUAGAGACAGUAAGGUCUAUGUGGUGGCAGUACUUUGGACUGGGUGUUAGACCUUGGAUCCUGUCUUUAUCACCUCUUGAUCUCGUGACCUUGAACAGGUCGAUUAAUCUCACUGAGCUUCAAUCUAGGCUGAUAAUCCGUGUCUACCAUACACCACGUUAAGAAGAGCAAAUAAGAUUGUUGUGAAAGUGCUUUGUAAAUUACCAAGUGACACAUAUAUUUUAUUAGUACUCUAUACUAUUCUUUUUCAUUUAACUGAGGUGUAAUUCACAUGUAACAUUAUUAGUUUGAGGUGUGCAAAGUAAUGAUUAUAUAUCCGUAUUCAUUGCAAAGUUAUCACAGUAAGUCCAGUUAACAUCCGUCACCAUACGUAAUUACAGAAUUUUUUUUCUUGGGGUGAGAACUUUUAAAAUCUACUUUUUCAGCAUUUUUUAAAUAUGCAGUUCAGUAUUAUUAACUGUAAUCACCAUGCUGUGCAUUAUUACAUCCCAUGACAUUUAUUUGAUGACUAGAGGUUUGUACCUUCUUAUUCCCUUUAUCCAUUUCACCUCCCACCCUCACCCCAGUCACUCUGGAUACCACCAGUCUGUCCUCUGUAUCUUCCAUAGGGUAUUCUUGACUCUAGACUCACAUCCAAGAACACACUGUCUUUUGAUGCUGUUAACUUUCAACUCUCUUUAAUAGCAGGAGCAUUAACAAGAAUUAGAUGAUAAAUAAAGCACCUGGAGUCUUUCUUGGUCUUCUGGGUCCAGAGAAUAAACAGCUGGAGUUU
Molecule: non-coding RNA, 1700 nt
Organism: Vicugna pacos (alpaca)
Lineage: Eukaryota; Metazoa; Chordata; Mammalia; Artiodactyla; Camelidae
Source: RefSeq, a predicted model, not a curated record